CCUACGGGUGGCAGCAGUGAGGAAUAUUGGUCAAUGGGCGGAAGCCUGAACCAGCCAAGUCGCGUGAGGGAAGACGGUCCUACGGAUCGUAAACCUCUUUUGGCGGGGAGCAAUGGCGGGGACGUGUGCCCGGAGGGAGAGUACCCGCAGAAAAAGCACGGGUAACCACGGUGCCAGCAGCGGCGGUAUUACGGGGGAUGCGAGCGUAAUCCGGAUUUUUGGGGUUUAAGGGUGGUGAGGCCGGAUUUUUAAGUCAGCGGUAAAAAGGUGGGGCUAAACCCGGGCCGGCCGUUGAAACUGGGGGUCUUGAGUGGGCGAGAAGUAGGCGGAAUGCGUGGUGUAGCGGUGAAAUGCAUAGAUAUCACGCAGAACUCCGAUUGCGAAGGCAGCAUGCCGGCGCCCAACUGACGCUGAGGCACGAAAGCGUGGGGAUCGAACAGGAUUAGAUACCCGAGUAGUC
This 460-nucleotide ribosomal RNA is filed under the name uncultured bacterium. Its description in RNAcentral is "partial 16S ribosomal RNA". It matches the Rfam family "Bacterial small subunit ribosomal RNA", at positions 338 to 795 of the family's 1533-position model. The record is from RNAcentral.